This 72-nucleotide transfer RNA is filed under the name Friedmanniomyces endolithicus. RNAcentral describes it as "tRNA-Asn". It matches the Rfam family "tRNA". From Rfam's summary of the family: Transfer RNA (tRNA) molecules are approximately 80 nucleotides in length. Their secondary structure includes four short double-helical elements and three loops (D, anti-codon, and T loops). Further hydrogen bonds mediate the characteristic L-shaped molecular structure. tRNAs have two regions of fundamental functional importance: the anti-codon, which is responsible for specific mRNA codon recognition, and the 3' end, to which the tRNAs corresponding amino acid is attached (by aminoacyl-tRNA synthetases). tRNAs cope with the degeneracy of the genetic code in two manners: having more than one tRNA (with a specific anti-codon) for a particular amino acid; and 'wobble' base-pairing, i.e. permitting non-standard base-pairing at the 3rd anti-codon position. Lineage: Eukaryota; Fungi; Ascomycota; Dothideomycetes; Mycosphaerellales; Teratosphaeriaceae. RNAcentral also lists the same sequence under 3 other names. The record is from RNAcentral.
UCCGCAGUAGCUCAGUGGUAGAGCAGCCGACUGUUAAUCGGCUGGUCGUAGGUUCGAAUCCUACCUGCGGAG